Long non-coding RNA from Arabidopsis thaliana (thale cress), 224 nucleotides. RefSeq annotates it as other RNA. The record is from RefSeq. NCBI's taxonomy places the organism in Eukaryota, Viridiplantae, Streptophyta, Magnoliopsida, Brassicales, Brassicaceae. The transcript has a single exon.
AAUAUGUUCUCUUCGAGCCCAAUGUUUUGGCACAAUAACUGUAUCCCUGUAAGAUUUUCAAAAGAAGCCAGAACAGAAUAAUACAAGCACAGCAGUUAGAUAGAAAACCAUGGAGCGCCGUUACAUGAGAAGUAAGGGGUUACCCUCAGAAAAAGAAAAAGAAAGGACCACUUCCGUUCCAUUGUAUAAAAAUCCAGACAUCACCUUCUUCUUCCCCUGUAGGU